UGCAAGUCGAACGAUGAAGCCCAGCUUGCUGGGUGGAUUAGUGGCGAACGGGUGAGUAACACGUGAGUAACCUGCCCUUAACUCUGGGAUAAGCCUGGGAAACUGGGUCUAAUACCGGAUAGGAGCGUCCACCGCAUGGUGGGUGUUGGAAAGAUUUAUCGGUUUUGGAUGGACUCGCGGCCUAUCAGCUUGUUGGUGAGGUAAUGGCUCACCAAGGCGACGACGGGUAGCCGGCCUGAGAGGGUGACCGGCCACACUGGGACUGAGACACGGCCCAGACUCCUACGGGAGGCAGCAGUGGGGAAUAUUGCACAAUGGGCGCAAGCCUGAUGCAGCGACGCCGCGUGAGGGAUGACGGCCUUCGGGUUGUAAACCUCUUUCAGUAGGGAAGAAGCGAAAGUGACGGUACCUGCAGAAGAAGCACCGGCUAACUACGUGCCAGCAGCCGCGGUAAUACGUAGGGUGCGAGCGUUAUCCGGAAUUAUUGGGCGUAAAGAGCUCGUAGGCGGUUUGUCGCGUCUGUCGUGAAAGUCCGGGGCUUAACCCCGGAUCUGCGGUGGGUACGGGCAGACUAGAGUGCAGUAGGGGAGACUGGAAUUCCUGGUGUAGCGGUGGAAUGCGCAGAUAUCAGGAGGAACACCGAUGGCGAAGGCAGGUCUCUGGGCUGUAACUGACGCUGAGGAGCGAAAGCAUGGGGAGCGAACAGGAUUAGAUACCCUGGUAGUCCAUGCCGUAAACGUUGGGCACUAGGUGUGGGGACCAUUCCACGGUUUCCGCGCCGCAGCUAACGCAUUAAGUGCCCCGCCUGGGGAGUACGGCCGCAAGGCUAAAACUCAAAGGAAUUGACGGGGGCCCGCACAAGCGGCGGAGCAUGCGGAUUAAUUCGAUGCAACGCGAAGAACCUUACCAAGGCUUGACAUGUUCUCGAUCGCCGUAGAGAUACGGUUUCCCCUUUGGGGCGGGUUCACAGGUGGUGCAUGGGUUGUCGUCAGCUCGUGUCGUGAGAUGUUGGGUUAAGUCCCCGCAACGAGCGCAACCCUCCGUUCCAUGUUGCCAGCACGUAAUGGUGGGGGACUCAUGGGAGACUGCCGGGGUCAACUC
Molecule: ribosomal RNA, 1101 nt
Filed under: Micrococcus luteus
Lineage: Bacteria; Bacillati; Actinomycetota; Actinomycetes; Micrococcales; Micrococcaceae
Description: bacterial SSU rRNA
Rfam family: Bacterial small subunit ribosomal RNA
Source: RNAcentral